UUAAUCCUCGCUUCAGGGCUUAAGCGCACCUUUGACAACACUGCUAGUGGGGUCUGGGAAGGGUAGUAUGUACGCAGACCUUGCCCCUACCCGAAGGGGUAGAGAGGCUGUUUCCGAAAGACCCUCGGCUCAAGAAGACAAAAAGACAGAAGAGAGAAAAUCGUCAAUUAGAAAUCCGUCGGUUUCUCACAACUUGAGCAUACAUCAUCAAGAGAGAAACAUGAUUGGAUGACUCUAAGGGGAUAGAUUCUUAUCUACAAGCUGCAUAGAUAACUCACGUGCCAGGAUAACUCAUCCCGCACGGGCCACUCACGUGUUGCCGAUCCAGUCCCUCACACAGAAGGCAUAUACAAGAAUACAUGUAUAUGAAUAAUGGAUAUCAAAUCGCAUGUUCAUGGACAGAAGAAUAUAGCAUGCUAAGGUGUAUGCAUGUGCGAGUGUAUAGCUACAACUCAAAUCAGGCGGAUACGCCGUACAACAACAAACAUCAUGCUCAGUAGUAAAUCAACACCUACACAUGAUCUCGACAUGAUUUUACGGAGUACAAACCUUUAAAGCAUGAUAGCACGAGACACAAUAUUCAAAUAAAGGUAGAGUUCUGCCUAAACACUACCCCGAUCAUG
Molecule: long non-coding RNA, 623 nt
Filed under: Nicotiana benthamiana
Lineage: Eukaryota; Viridiplantae; Streptophyta; Magnoliopsida; Solanales; Solanaceae
Description: long non-coding RNA (NBEN_LNC004480)
Source: RNAcentral